This is a ribosomal RNA of 731 nucleotides. It matches the Rfam family "Bacterial small subunit ribosomal RNA", at positions 111 to 854 of the family's 1533-position model.
UAACACGUGGGUAAUCUGCCCUGCACUUUCGGGAUAAGCCUGGGAAACCGGGUCUAAUACCGGAUAUUCAGUUCCUGCCGCAUGGUGGGGGUUGGAAAGUUUUUCGGUGCAGGAUGAGCCCGCGGCCUAUCAGCUUGUUGGUGGGGUAAUGGCCUACCAAGGCGACGACGGGUAGCCGGCCUGAGAGGGUGAUCGGCCACACUGGGACUGAGACACGGCCCAGACUCCUACGGGAGGCAGCAGUGGGGAAUAUUGCACAAUGGGCGAAAGCCUGAUGCAGCGACGCCGCGUGGGGGAUGACGGUCUUCGGAUUGUAAACCCCUUUCAGUAGGGACGAAGCGCAAGUGACGGUACCUGCAGAAGAAGCACCGGCCAACUACGUGCCAGCAGCCGCGGUAAUACGUAGGGUGCGAGCGUUGUCCGGAAUUACUGGGCGUAAAGAGCUCGUAGGCGGUUUGUCGCGUCGUCCGUGAAAACUCGGAGCUUAACUCCGAGCUUGCGGGCGAUACGGGCAGACUUGAGUACUACAGGGGAGACUGGAAUUCCUGGUGUAGCGGUGAAAUGCGCAGAUAUCAGGAGGAACACCGGUGGCGAAGGCGGGUCUCUGGGUAGUAACUGACGCUGAGGAGCGAAAGCAUGGGUAGCGAACAGGAUUAGAUACCCUGGUAGUCCAUGCCGUAACCGGUGGGCACUAGGUGUGGGGUCCUUCCACGGAUUCCGUGCCGUAGCUA